This 502-nucleotide ribosomal RNA is filed under the name Sicyonia lancifer. RNAcentral describes it as "partial 12S ribosomal RNA". The stretch from base 134 to 502 matches the Rfam family "Microsporidia small subunit ribosomal RNA", at positions 752 to 1217 of the family's 1311-position model. Lineage: Eukaryota; Metazoa; Arthropoda; Malacostraca; Decapoda; Sicyoniidae. The record is from RNAcentral.
GCGUUAAUAAAGGGUAAAAUCAGCUUUUUAGAGUGCAAAAAAUAUUUUAAUAUGAUGUUAACUGAAGUUGUUAAAGUUAAGAAAUGGACCAGGAUUAGAUACCCUGUUACACUUUUCUGAAAAUAAAUUACCAGGGUACUAAAAAGUUAUUAGCUUGAAACUCAAAGAAUUUGGCGGUAGUUUAGUCUAGUUAGAGGAACCUGUCCUAUAAUCGAUAAAACACGAAAUAUCUUACUUUAUUUUGUAUAAUCAGUUUGUAUACCGUUAUUAUUAGAUAACUUCAUAAGAAUUUUCAGUUGUUGAAAGAGUAGUCUGCUAAUAUAUUAGAUCAAGGUGCAGCUAAUAAUAAAGAAGAGAUGGGUUACAAUAAAUUUGUUUAUACGGAUCCAAAAAAGAACUUUUUUGGUUAAGGUGGAUUUAAAAGUAAUUAAAUAUUUAAUAAGAUUUUGUGAUUGUAGCUCUAAACUAUGUACACAUUGCCCGUCGCUCUCGUUAUUAAAGC